This 396-nucleotide ribosomal RNA is filed under the name uncultured bacterium. RNAcentral describes it as "partial 16S ribosomal RNA". It matches the Rfam family "Bacterial small subunit ribosomal RNA", at positions 523 to 918 of the family's 1533-position model. The record is from RNAcentral.
AUACGUAGGUGGCAAGCGUUGUCCGGAAUUAUUGGGCGUAAAGCGCAUGUAGGCGGCGGUUUAAGUCUGUCGUGAAACUGCGGGGCUCAGCCCCGUAUGGCGAUGGAAACUGGACGGCUUGAGUGCAGGAGAGGAAAGGGGAACUCCCAGUGUAGCGGUGAAAUGCGUAGAUAUUGGGAAGAACACCGGUGGCGAAGGCGCCUUUCUGGACUGUGUCUGACGCUGAGAUGCGAAAGCCAGGGUAGCGAACGGGAUUAGAUACCCCGGUAGUCCUGGUCGUAAACGAUGGGUACUAGGUGUGGGAGGUAUCGACCCCUUCCGUGCCGGAGUUAACGCAAUAAGUACCCCGCCUGGGGAGUACGGCCGCAAGGCUUAAACUCAAAGGAAUUGACGGGG